RNAcentral lists this ribosomal RNA (253 nucleotides) under uncultured bacterium. RNAcentral's name for it is "partial 16S ribosomal RNA". It matches the Rfam family "Bacterial small subunit ribosomal RNA", at positions 524 to 776 of the family's 1533-position model. The record is from RNAcentral.
UACAGAGGUCUCAAGCGUUGUUCGGAUUCAUUGGGCGUAAAGGGCGCGUAGGCGGCGGGGUAAGUCUGGUGUGAAAUCUCGGAGCUCAACUCCGAAAUUGCACUGGAUACUGCUCUGCUUGAGGGUUGGAGAGGAGAUCGGAAUUCACGGUGUAGCAGUGAAAUGCGUAGAGAUCAUGAGGAAGACCAGUGGCGAAGGCGGGUCUCUGGACAGUUCCUGACACUGAGACACGAAGGCCAGGGGAGCAAACGGG